GACGAACGCUGGCGGCGUGCUUAACACAUGCAAGUCGAACGGAAAGGCCCUGCGUUUGUGGGGUGCUCGAGUGGCGAACGGGUGAGUAACACGUGAGUAACCUGCCCUUGACUUUGGGAUAACUUCAGGAAACUGGGGCUAAUACCGGAUAGGAGCUCCUGCUGCAUGGUGGGGGUUGGAAAGUUUCGGCGGUUGGGGCUGGACUCGCGGCUUAUCAGCUUGUUGGUGGGGUAGUGGCUUACCAAGGCUUUGACGGGUAGCCGGCCUGGGAGGGUGACCGGCCACAUUGGGACUGAGAUACGGCCCAGACUCCUACGGGAGGCAGCAGUGGGGAAUAUUGCACAAUGGGCGGAAGCCUGAUGCAGCAACGCCGCGUGCGGGAUGACGGCCUUCGGGUUGUAAACCGCUUUCGCCUGUGCCGAAGCGUGAGUGACGGUAAUGGGUAAAGAAGCACCGGCUAACUACGUG
Molecule: ribosomal RNA, 468 nt
Filed under: uncultured bacterium
Lineage: Bacteria
Description: partial 16S ribosomal RNA
Rfam family: Bacterial small subunit ribosomal RNA
Source: RNAcentral